Long non-coding RNA from Passer montanus (Eurasian tree sparrow), 3009 nucleotides. RefSeq lists it as uncharacterized. The record is from RefSeq and is a predicted model, not a curated record. The transcript has 4 exons. Lineage: Eukaryota; Metazoa; Chordata; Aves; Passeriformes; Passeridae.
AGUGCAUCUGUGGCAGUGACAGCAGCAGUGCCACAGCCAUGGCAAGGCCCAGCUGAUGUGACCUCUGGGGAGGGCACCUUCACACAGGCAGAAAAAGAAGGGUGGGAUUGUUGGAAUGGAAAUAUUUUCCACUAAGAAGUGUGAUCCCGCCUGGUAAGACUUCCUUCAUCCAAAUCCUUUCUGGAUUGCAAGGCUGUCAGAGGCUCAUGGCUGGGAAUAGGUGAUUUGGGCUUGUUUGGGGGGACCAUGUCUGCUUGAGGCUAAAGGAGGACAUGUGGGAGAGCUCCUCAGAGAUUUCUUCUGCUCUGUAUAAGCCACUGGAACAAAAGCUGAGCAAGGUUUCUGGACAGAAAACUGGAUUGAGAGCUGGAGGAAGCAGGAGGGGGGACUGCUGUACCUCCUAUUGGGCAAAUACCCCUUGCUCUUGCCUGCUGGUGGCUGCCUGGUGAUCCUGUCUGGGUUGUGGCCAGAGUGUGGCUCAUGUAGGGGCAGAGGAAAUACGUUAAAUCCAAGUAAAUUCAUGGUACACUGGACAUUUGGGAGCAGCUAAUUCUUAUUUUGCCCAUCAGAAGUCCAGUCCCUCCCUCUGCACCUGUGAUUUAGUAACAGGUACAGUUUUGCAGUCUCAGAUUAGUCUGUCUUUGAGUACAAAAUUAAUUCCGUACAUAACUCGGCUAUGAAGUGAAUGGAUUGAUUGAUGCUGAUGAUUUGAAGUUAUUCUGUUAAGCUGUUUUUGCCAAGGAAGAAAAAUGUGCCAUGAUAUGUUUAUUUGCAUGCUGCAGAGCAUAAAUGAAAGAGCUGAUUGAACUGUUUUUUAUUAAGAAAAAAAAAAAAAGGAAAAUAAUAUCUUGGCUAUCAGUACUCUUUUGUAUCUUUAUUGUCUUUGAUUCUUUAUGGCCUUUACUGGCUUCAGUGGACUUUGGAUCAGACAGUUGCUAAUUCAUCUUCAAAUCUUUACACAAAUGACAACGGCAAGUUCACCAUGUGUGCAAAUUCCUUUAUCUUCUGGGAAAAUGUGAAGUUUGCAUCAUAAACCACAGGCCUACGGUAAGUUCUGAGGCCACUUCUGUCACCCCUACAGAAGGAUCAUCCAACGUGUUUCCUUGCCAAACUGGCAAUAUGAGGAAAAGUAGGCUUUUGUGUGAUGCUGUGUGUGAUGUCAGGUAGCUGUGGGCAAAGAGUGACUUUUAGCAGACACUUUUCUAAGGAAAGAAACAUCCAAGAUGUUGUUUAGCAGGGAAUGAUGGCUGAAGGCAAAGGAAAAGGAUACUCAAAGAUGGAAAAACUGUUACUUUGAUGUGCAAUGGUACCAAACCCCAUGUAAGCAAGGAGUUCAAGGUCCCCCUUAUUUUAAAGUGUUUAGGAUGUGGAGUGAUGCAGGGGUGGAGCACAGGAGACAAAAACUUCUCUGCAUGCUCUCUAAGACUUGAAGACAGCUCUUGAAGGAGCCUCUUGGAGAAAGACAUUUUAAGAAAAAAAGUGGAGAAGUAACUGUCGUGGUGUGGAUUUGGAUCCAGGCAAAGCUUAGCAUCCCUGAUGAAUAAGGACAACUCCUUUGGCAGGUGGCAUGGAAUGGUGUGACUGUCCUGUCCUGUCCUGCUGAGCUGAAAUCUCACAUGAUCAGGCUGAUGUGAUCAAAUGAAUGUUUCUUCCACUUGACUGCAGCUUCUCUGAAAGUAUCAAGCCCCAGUCUCUGGGGUGAAUGUAGAAUUUUGCUCCUCAUUAUUACAGAUUAUUAUAUUUCCUGUGCCAGUCACUGGAAACCUGCCUGAAAAGACAUAGAUCCCCGUGGAGCAGCAGCCAGAACCUGGGUCCCAAAGCAUCCCUGAAAGGGCUGCACGAUGGUAAGUGCUGGGUCAUUCUGAAGCACUUCCAAGCCAUGACUGUUAUUUUUCUCUGCUAAAAACCAUUAAAAAACGCUGAGGAGUAACACAAAUAACAGGGAUGAAAGCCUGAUCUUUGUCAGAGAUCCAGACACUGACUGCAUUGUCGUUUCAGCAGCGGGCAUGUGGCUGACUUAAAGUCAAGGAGGCAAAAUAUUAUAGGAGCACUCAAUGCAGCCUUGGAAAACUAGGAUUUAACCCUUUUUCUGCCUAACCAGUUGCAACUUGGAGUGAACAGUGGCCGUGUAUUUCGUAAAGGAGGAGCUGUUUUUGUUUUUGUUUAAAAAGAGCUUUCAGAUCAGCUGAGUUUGAGCCAAUGCUGAAAACAGAGCUGCCAAAUUUAUCAUUGACCAGAAGAUUUGUAUGGGGCUAAAGGAGGUUGGUACAGAGAGAUUAGAAGCAGAUUAUCAGCAUGCUUUUAGCUUUAUCUGUUUCUAGAAGCAAAUAAUUAGCCUCAGAAACAAAUUCAUCUUAAAAUAAGCUCUAAAAUAUAAAUUAUUGGUGUGAAAAGACUGAUAAAAGUUUCAGGAACUGUUUUUUUUGCCAGAAGAAAUUAAUUCCCCAAGGACUUAGUUUCAAUCAAUGUGGUUCCCGUAACUCUGCUACGAAAAGCCAAUUUCAAGAAACUCAUUUAGUUCCUUAUUUCAAAUCCUCCCUGCAGCCUGCCUGUAGAAGAGGGGGAAAAAAGAAACAGUUCUGAUGACAAAAAUCAUGCAACUUCUGGAGCUUUGUUACAAAAUGGAGAAAAUUGCUUUAUUUUUUCUUUUUUUCUUUUUUUUUUCCUUUUUUUUUUUUUGGUGGUGGGAGGAGGGAGAUAAAGUGGUUUGAUUGACCUUGUUUGCUGAAUUGAGUGACAGGAGCAGCUCCCAGCAGGAGCAUUGGGCUUAUCUCAUCCAGGAGAGAUUGUCACCCAGGGAAAUGAGCAUAAUCAAGCUGAGAAAUGGCAUUAAUUUGUGCUUGUGCCAUGUGUGGUCCUGAUAACUUUGGAAAUGAAGGAACUGCCCAUGGUUUGUCAGCAAUACCCAAGUUUCCUUAUGUUCUCCAUGGCAGCAUGGGUCCCUGAUGUCACCUCUUACAGCUUAAACAGCCAUGUGGAAAGCAUUAUAAGAUUUUUGGCAACAAUGGG